RNAcentral lists this transfer RNA (85 nucleotides) under Candidatus Atopostipes pullistercoris. RNAcentral's name for it is "tRNA-Leu". It matches the Rfam family "tRNA". Rfam says of the family: Transfer RNA (tRNA) molecules are approximately 80 nucleotides in length. Their secondary structure includes four short double-helical elements and three loops (D, anti-codon, and T loops). Further hydrogen bonds mediate the characteristic L-shaped molecular structure. tRNAs have two regions of fundamental functional importance: the anti-codon, which is responsible for specific mRNA codon recognition, and the 3' end, to which the tRNAs corresponding amino acid is attached (by aminoacyl-tRNA synthetases). tRNAs cope with the degeneracy of the genetic code in two manners: having more than one tRNA (with a specific anti-codon) for a particular amino acid; and 'wobble' base-pairing, i.e. permitting non-standard base-pairing at the 3rd anti-codon position. The record is from RNAcentral. Lineage: Bacteria; Bacillati; Bacillota; Bacilli; Lactobacillales; Carnobacteriaceae.
GCGCACAUGGCGGAAUGGUAGACGCGCCAGCUUGAGGGGCUGGUGGGGACUUAUCCCCGUGGAAGUUCGAGUCUUCUUGUGCGCA